AGUGAACGCUGGCGGUAGGCCUAACACAUGCAAGUCGAACGGCAGCACAGGAGAGCUUGCUCUCUGGGUGGCGAGUGGCGGACGGGUGAGGAAUACAUCGGAAUCUACUCUGUCGUGGGGGAUAACGUAGGGAAACUUACGCUAAUACCGCAUACGACCUACGGGUGAAAGCAGGGGACCUUCGGGCCUUGCGCGAUUGAAUGAGCCGAUGUCGGAUUAGCUAGUUGGCGGGGUAAAGGCCCACCAAGGCGACGAUCCGUAGCUGGUCUGCGAGGCUGAUAAGCCACACUGGAAUUAGAACACGGUCCAGACUCCUACGGGAGGCAGCAGUGGGGAAUAUUGGAGAGUGGGCGCAAGCCUGAUGCAGCGAUACCGCGUGGGUGAAGAAGGCCUUCGGGUUGUAAAGCCCUUUUGUUGGGAAAGAAAUCCAGCUGGCUAGUACCCGGUUGGGAUGACGGUACCCAAAGAAUAAGCACCGGCUAACUUCGUGCCAGCCGCCGCCGUAA
RNAcentral lists this ribosomal RNA (506 nucleotides) under uncultured bacterium. Its description in RNAcentral is "partial 16S ribosomal RNA". It matches the Rfam family "Bacterial small subunit ribosomal RNA", at positions 29 to 523 of the family's 1533-position model. The record is from RNAcentral.